RNAcentral lists this transfer RNA (76 nucleotides) under Vibrio phage 184E37.1. RNAcentral's name for it is "tRNA-Asn". It matches the Rfam family "tRNA". Rfam says of the family: Transfer RNA (tRNA) molecules are approximately 80 nucleotides in length. Their secondary structure includes four short double-helical elements and three loops (D, anti-codon, and T loops). Further hydrogen bonds mediate the characteristic L-shaped molecular structure. tRNAs have two regions of fundamental functional importance: the anti-codon, which is responsible for specific mRNA codon recognition, and the 3' end, to which the tRNAs corresponding amino acid is attached (by aminoacyl-tRNA synthetases). tRNAs cope with the degeneracy of the genetic code in two manners: having more than one tRNA (with a specific anti-codon) for a particular amino acid; and 'wobble' base-pairing, i.e. permitting non-standard base-pairing at the 3rd anti-codon position. The record is from RNAcentral. Lineage: Duplodnaviria; Heunggongvirae; Uroviricota; Caudoviricetes. RNAcentral also lists the same sequence under 19 other names.
GGGUAGUUAGCAAAAUGGAAACGCAGCGAGCUGUUAACUCGUCAUGACGCAGGUUCAAUCCCUGCACUGCCCGCCA